AUUGAACGCUGGCGGCAUGCCUUACACAUGCAAGUCGAACGGCAGCGCGGACUUCGGUCUGGCGGCGAGUGGCGAACGGGUGAGUAAUACAUCGGAACGUACCCUGUUGUGGGGGAUAACUAGUCGAAAGAUUAGCUAAUACCGCAUACGACCUGAGGGGGAAAGUGAGGGACCGCAAGGCCUCACGCAGCAGGAGCGGCCGAUGUCUGAUUAGCUAGUUGGGGGGGUAAAGGCCCACGAAGGCGACGAUCGGUAGCUGGUCGGAGAGGACGAUCAGCCACACUGGGACUGAGACACGGCCCAGAUUCCUACGGGAGGCAGCAGUGGGGAAUUUUGAACAAUGGGGGCAACCCUGAUCCAGCAAUGCCGCGUGUGUGAAGAAGGCCUUCGGGUUGUAAAGCACUUUUGUCCGGAAAGAAAUCGCGCUGGUUAAUACCUGGCGUGGAUGACGGUACCGGAAGAAUAAGCACCGGCUAACUACGUGCCAGCAGCCGCCGUAA
This 500-nucleotide ribosomal RNA is filed under the name uncultured bacterium. RNAcentral's name for it is "partial 16S ribosomal RNA". It matches the Rfam family "Bacterial small subunit ribosomal RNA", at positions 29 to 523 of the family's 1533-position model. The record is from RNAcentral.